GCAUUGGUGGUACAGUGGUAGAAUUCUUGCCUUCCAUGCAUUAGACCUGGGUUCGAUUCCUGGCCAAAACA
Molecule: transfer RNA, 71 nt
Filed under: Loxodonta africana (African savanna elephant)
Lineage: Eukaryota; Metazoa; Chordata; Mammalia; Proboscidea; Elephantidae
Rfam family: tRNA
About the family: Transfer RNA (tRNA) molecules are approximately 80 nucleotides in length. Their secondary structure includes four short double-helical elements and three loops (D, anti-codon, and T loops).
Source: Rfam by way of RNAcentral